UGGUGGAGUGAUUUGUCUGGUUAAUUCCGUUAACGAACGAGACUUUGCCCUGCUAAAUAGUCACUUUAGUUUCGGCUAUAGCUAGACUUCUUAGAGGGACUUUACGCGCCCAGCGUAAUUAAGUUCAAAGCAAUAACA
This 138-nucleotide ribosomal RNA is filed under the name uncultured eukaryote. RNAcentral's name for it is "partial 18S ribosomal RNA". It matches the Rfam family "Eukaryotic small subunit ribosomal RNA", at positions 1299 to 1458 of the family's 1831-position model. The record is from RNAcentral.